Molecule: ribosomal RNA, 408 nt
Filed under: uncultured eukaryote
Lineage: Eukaryota
Description: SSU rRNA
Rfam family: Eukaryotic small subunit ribosomal RNA
Source: RNAcentral
AGCUCUAAUAGCGUAUAUUAUAGUUGUUGCAGUUAAAAAGCUCGUAGUUGAAGUUCAGGAUUGAAGUAGUCGGUCCGCCGUAAGGCGUGUACUGAUUGCUCCAUCCUCCUUAUGGGAUACUUCUCGUUGCUCUUAACUGAGUGGCGAUAAAAAUCCGGUUUACGCCGGAUGGGGUUCCCAUUCAUUUACUUUGAAUAAAUUGGAGUGUUCAAAGCAGGCACAAAGGGCCUUGUACACAUCAGCAUGGGAUAAUGGAAUAUGAUUCGUGUUCUUAUUUCGUUGGUUUCUAGGACAUGAGUAAUGAUUAAAAGGGAUAGUUGGGGGCAUUAGUAUUUAAUUGUCAGAGGUGAAAUUCUCGGAUUUAUGAAAGACUAACUUCUGCGAAAGCAUUUGCCAAGGAUGUUUUCA